RNAcentral lists this ribosomal RNA (465 nucleotides) under uncultured bacterium. Its description in RNAcentral is "partial 16S ribosomal RNA". It matches the Rfam family "Bacterial small subunit ribosomal RNA", at positions 28 to 507 of the family's 1533-position model. The record is from RNAcentral.
GACGAACGCUGGCGGCGUGCUUAACACAUGCAAGUCGAACGGAAAGGCCCUGCUUGCAGGGUACUCGAGUGGCGAACGGGUGAGUAACACGUGGGUGAUCUGCCCUGCACUUCGGGAUAAGCCUGGGAAACUGGGUCUAAUACCGGAUAGGAGCCAUUUUUAGUGUGAUGGUUGGAAAGUUUUUUCGGUGUAGGAUGAGCUCGCGGCCUAUCAGCUUGUUGGUGGGGUAAUGGCCUACCAAGGCGGCGACGGGUAGCCGGCCUGAGAGGGUGGACGGCCAAAUUGGGACUGAGAUACGGCCCAGACUCCUACGGGAGGCAGCAGUGGGGAAUAUUGCACCAUGGGCGCAAGCCUGAUGCAGGGACGCCGCGUGGGGGAUGACGGCCUUCGGGUUGUAAACUCCUUUCGCUAGGGACGAAGCUUUUUGUGACGGUACCUAGAUAAGAAGCACCGGCUAACUACGUG